RNAcentral lists this ribosomal RNA (472 nucleotides) under uncultured bacterium. RNAcentral describes it as "bacterial SSU rRNA". It matches the Rfam family "Bacterial small subunit ribosomal RNA", at positions 46 to 504 of the family's 1533-position model. The record is from RNAcentral.
GUUUUAGGCAUGCAAGUCGAACGCGAAAGUCGCAAGACGUGUAGCGUGGCGAAAGGGGUGAGUAACGCGUGAGCAAUCUACCUCGAGGAUUGGAAUAACCACUGGAAACGGUGGAUAAUGCCAAAUUGUCCCUGCGGGCGGCAUCGCCUGCUCGGUAAACGGUCGGUUUCGGCCCUCUGCCUCGAGCGGAGCUCACGUCCUAUCAGCUAGUUGGCGGGGUAACGGCCCACCAAGGCAUUGACGGGUAGCCGGACUGAGAGGUUGGCCGGCCACACUGGGACUGAGAUACUGCCCAGACUCCUACGGGAGGCUGCAGUCGAGAAUCUUCCGCAAUGGGCGAAAGCCUGACGGGGCGACGCCGCGUGCAGGAUGAAGGCCUUCGGGUUGUAAAACUGCUGUUACACUUUACCAACGCUCGGAAGUUAAUAGCUCUCCGAGACGAGCAAGGUGGGAGAAAGCACAGGCUAACUCC